RNAcentral lists this ribosomal RNA (480 nucleotides) under uncultured bacterium. RNAcentral's name for it is "partial 16S ribosomal RNA". It matches the Rfam family "Bacterial small subunit ribosomal RNA", at positions 28 to 507 of the family's 1533-position model. The record is from RNAcentral.
GAUGAACGCUAGCGGCAGGCCUAACACAUGCAAGUCGAGGGAGAGGUUACCUUCGGGUAACCAAAACCGGCGCACGGGUGCGUAACGCGUAUACAAUCUGCCUUUCACAUAGGGAUAGCCCGAAGAAAUUUGGAUUAAUACCUAAUGGUAUAUAAGAGCGGCAUCGUUUUUAUAUUAAAGCUACGGUGGUGAAAGAUGAGUAUGCGUUCUAUUAGCUAGUUGGAGAGGUAACGGCUCCCCAAGGCGACGAUAGAUAGGGGUUCUGAGAGGGAUGUCCCCCACACUGGUACUGAGAUACGGACCAGACUCCUACGGGAGGCAGCAGUGAGUAAUAUUGGACAAUGGUCGGAAGACUGAUCCAGCCAUGCCGCGUGCAGGAUGAAGGUCCUAUGGAUUGUAAACUGCUUUUGUAAGGGAAGAAUAAGGAGUACGUGUACUUUGAUGACGGUACCUUACGAAUAAGCAUCGGCUAACUCCGUG